GUGUGCAUUGUGUGUGCAAGGCAUGUCCACAAGAGUGUGCAUUGCACCUACACGUGAGCAACCAUGUGCGCACCCCUGCCUUGCACCCAUGCCCCACCACCCCCCCCGUGUUGCACGACGCCGUGCUCACACCUGUUGCACACCCACCACCAACGUGACCCCCACACUCACACUCACCACACCUCUCCUGCUGCUCUGCACGGGGAUGGGGAUGGUCCCAGUAAUGGUGACAAUCCCACUAAUGGUGAUGGUGAUAAUGGUGACAGUCCCAGUAAUGGUGACAGUGGUAACGGUGAGAGCCUCACUAAUGGUGACACAAUAAUGGUGACAAUCCCAGAAACGGUGAUGGUGGUAACGGUGACAGUCCCAGUAAUGGUGACACAAUAA
RNAcentral lists this long non-coding RNA (387 nucleotides) under Numida meleagris (helmeted guineafowl). RNAcentral describes it as "lncRNA (ENSNMEG00000002710.1)". Lineage: Eukaryota; Metazoa; Chordata; Aves; Galliformes; Numididae. The record is from RNAcentral.